CGAAUGACACGCGCAUAUAGAAAAUAAGAGCGAGACAAAGGCUCAAAAAAAGAGAGAGGAGACCGAAACUGGAAAAACAAUAAAAUCAUAAUAAUAAAAGUAAAAAAUCCAUUUUACACCCCUAAUAACGCUUCGGCCGGAGGACAGAGGCCAAAAGGCGACAGCAACAGAGAACGACGUGGAAUCGGAACACGGAACAACCAGCAAGCCGCACCAAGCAAUGGCGCUCAAAAGUAAGGGGCAUGCGAAGGUGAUUUCAAAAAUAAAUAGAGACAAACAAAUGAAUCCUGUGAGACCAAUUGCACGCGCCACAGCCAAGGAAGUUCAUACACUCCCACUCACCCACACUUACUUUAUGCGCUGUUUGGUGCGUCGAUUUAAACUAAAAAUAAUAGGUGGC
Drosophila melanogaster (fruit fly) is the source of this 400-nucleotide non-coding RNA. NCBI's taxonomy places the organism in Eukaryota, Metazoa, Arthropoda, Insecta, Diptera, Drosophilidae. The record is from Ensembl.